This 499-nucleotide ribosomal RNA is filed under the name uncultured bacterium. RNAcentral describes it as "bacterial SSU rRNA". It matches the Rfam family "Bacterial small subunit ribosomal RNA", at positions 28 to 511 of the family's 1533-position model. The record is from RNAcentral.
GAUGAACGCUGGCGGCAUGCCUAAUACAUGCAAGUCGAACGAGAGGAAGGAAAGCUUGUUUUUCUGAAUCUAGUGGCGAACGGGUGAGUAACACGUAGGUAACCUGCCCAUGUGCCCGGGAUAACUUCUGGAAACGGAUGCUAAAACCGGAUAGGUAGCAGACAAGCAUUUGACUGCUAUUAAAGUGGCUAAGGCCAUGAACAUGGAUGGACCUGCGGUGCAUUAGCUAGUUGGUGAGGUAACGGCCCACCAAGGCGACGAUGCAUAGCCGGCCUGAGAGGGCGGACGGCCACAUUGGGACUGAGACACGGCCCAAACUCCUACGGGAGGCAGCAGUAGGGAAUUUUCGUCAAUGGGGGAACCCUGAACGAGCAAUGCCGCGUGAGUGAGGAAGGUCUUCGGAUCGUAAAGCUCUGUUGUAAGAGAAAAACGACAUUCAUAGGGAAUGAUGAGUGAGUGAUGGUAUCUUACCAGAAAGUCACGGCUAACUACGUGCCAG